RNAcentral lists this ribosomal RNA (402 nucleotides) under uncultured Rhodopila sp. RNAcentral's name for it is "bacterial SSU rRNA". It matches the Rfam family "Bacterial small subunit ribosomal RNA", at positions 355 to 774 of the family's 1533-position model. The record is from RNAcentral. Lineage: Bacteria; Pseudomonadati; Pseudomonadota; Alphaproteobacteria; Acetobacterales; Acetobacteraceae.
UGGGGAAUAUUGGACAAUGGGCGCAAGCCUGAUCCAGCAAUGCCGCGUGUGUGAAGAAGGUCUUCGGAUUGUAAAGCACUUUCGGCGGGGACGAUGAUGACGGUACCCGCAGAAGAAGCCCCGGCUAACUUCGUGCCAGCAGCCGCGGUAAUACGAAGGGGGCUAGCGUUGCUCGGAAUGACUGGGCGUAAAGGGCGCGUAGGCGGUUUGUACAGUCAGGUGUGAAAUUCCCGGGCUCAACCUGGGGGCUGCACUUGAUACGUAGGAACUUGAGUGGGGAAGAGGGUCGUGGAAUUCCCAGUGUAGAGGUGAAAUUCGUAGAUAUUGGGAAGAACACCGGUGGCGAAGGCGGCGACCUGGUCCUUGACUGACGCUGAGGCGCGAAAGCGUGGGGAGCAAACA